Molecule: ribosomal RNA, 436 nt
Filed under: uncultured Acinetobacter sp.
Lineage: Bacteria; Pseudomonadati; Pseudomonadota; Gammaproteobacteria; Moraxellales; Moraxellaceae
Description: bacterial SSU rRNA
Rfam family: Bacterial small subunit ribosomal RNA
Source: RNAcentral
AACGCGAAGAACCUUACCUGGUCUUGACAUAGUAAGAACUUUCCAGAGAUGGAUUGGUGCCUUCGGGAACUUACAUACAGGUGCUGCAUGGCUGUCGUCAGCUCGUGUCGUGAGAUGUUGGGUUAAGUCCCGCAACGAGCGCAACCCUUUUCCUUAUUUGCCAGCGGGUUAAGCCGGGAACUUUAAGGAUACUGCCAGUGACAAACUGGAGGAAGGCGGGGACGACGUCAAGUCAUCAUGGCCCUUACGACCAGGGCUACACACGUGCUACAAUGGUCGGUACAAAGGGUUGCUACCUAGCGAUAGGAUGCUAAUCUCAAAAAGCCGAUCGUAGUCCGGAUUGGAGUCUGCAACUUGACUCCAUGAAGUCGGAAUCGCUAGUAAUCGGAGAUCAGCAUGCUCCGGUGAAUACGUUCCCGGGUCUUGUACACACCGA